CGUGUAGGCGGCCAGACAAGUCCGUUGUGAAAACUAGAGGCUUAACCUCUAGACGUCGAUGGAAACUGUUUGGCUAGAGUCCGGAAGAGGAGAAUGGAAUUCCUGGUGUAGCGGUGAAAUGCGCAGAUAUCAGGAAGAACACCCGUGGCUAAGGCGGUUCUCUAGUACGGUACUGACGCUGAGACGCGAAAGCGUGGGGAGCGAACA
RNAcentral lists this ribosomal RNA (207 nucleotides) under uncultured bacterium. Its description in RNAcentral is "partial 16S ribosomal RNA". It matches the Rfam family "Bacterial small subunit ribosomal RNA", at positions 568 to 774 of the family's 1533-position model. The record is from RNAcentral.